AGAACGAACGCUGGCGGCAGGCCUCAAACAUGCAAGUCUAGGGGGUGUAGCAAUACAUCACCGGCGGACGGGUGCGUAACGCGUGGGAAUGUACCUAUUGGUUCGGAACAACACAGGGAAACUUGUGCUAAUACCGGAUGAGCCCGAAAGGGGAAAGAUUUCUCGCCAAUAGAUCAGCCCGCGUCCGAUUAGCUAGUUGGUGGGGUUAAAGCCUACCAAGGCGACGAUCGGUAGCUGUUCUGAGAGGAAGAUCAGCCACACUGGGACUGAGACACGGCCCAGACUCCUACGGGAGGCAGCAGUUGGGAAUCUUGGACAAUGGGGAAACCCUGAUCCAGCCAUGCCGCGUGAGUGAUGAAGGCCUUCGGGUUGUAAAACUCUUUCGACGGGGACGAUAAUGACGGUACCCGUAGAAGAAGCUCCGGCUAACUUCGUGCCAGCAGCCGC
RNAcentral lists this ribosomal RNA (447 nucleotides) under uncultured bacterium. RNAcentral describes it as "SSU rRNA". It matches the Rfam family "Bacterial small subunit ribosomal RNA", at positions 26 to 518 of the family's 1533-position model. The record is from RNAcentral.